RNAcentral lists this ribosomal RNA (374 nucleotides) under uncultured Thermus sp. RNAcentral's name for it is "bacterial SSU rRNA". It matches the Rfam family "Bacterial small subunit ribosomal RNA", at positions 1008 to 1382 of the family's 1533-position model. The record is from RNAcentral. Lineage: Bacteria; Thermotogati; Deinococcota; Deinococci; Thermales; Thermaceae.
UGGGUGCCCGCGAGGGAGGCCCUAGCACAGGUGCUGCAUGGCCGUCGUCAGCUCGUGCCGUGAGGUGUUGGGUUAAGUCCCGCAACGAGCGCAACCCCCGCCGUUAGUUGCCAGCGGUUCGGCCGGGCACUCUAACGGGACUGCCCGCGAAAGCGGGAGGAAGGAGGGGACGACGUCUGGUCAGCAUGGCCCUUACGGCCUGGGCGACACACGUGCUACAAUGCCCACUACAAAGCGAUGCCACCCGGCAACGGGGAGCUAAUCGCAAAAAAGGUGGGCCCAGUUCGGAUUGGGGUCUGCAAUUCGCCUGCAUGAAGUCGGAAUCGCUAGUAAUCGCAGGUCAGCAUACUGCGGUGAAUACGUUCCCGGGCCUU